GACGAACGCUGGCGGCGUGCUUAACACAUGCAAGUCGAACGGAAAGGCCUGCUUUCCCUUGUGGAUUGCGGGUACUCGAGUGGCGAACGGGUGAGUAACACGUGAGUGAUCUGCCCCCAACUUGGGUAUAAGCCUGGGAAACUGGGUCUAAUUCCCGAUAGGACUGCAGGGUGGUGCCUGUGGUGGAAAACGAUUUUCUAGUGGUUGGGGAUGAGCUCGCGGCCUAUCAGCUUGUUGGUGGGGUAAUGGCCUACCAAGGCGGCGACGGGUAGCCGGCCUGAGAGGGUGGACGGCCACAUUGGGACUGAGAUACGGCCCAGACUCCUACGGGAGGCAGCAGUGGGGAAUAUUGCACAAUGGGCGGAAGCCUGAUGCAGCGACGCCGCGUGGGGGAGGACGGCCUUCGGGUUGUAAACUCCUUUCGACCGCGAGGAAGCCACCUGGUUGGAAGGGUGGUGACGGUAGUGGUAGAAGAAGCACCGGCUAACUACGU
RNAcentral lists this ribosomal RNA (493 nucleotides) under uncultured bacterium. RNAcentral describes it as "partial 16S ribosomal RNA". It matches the Rfam family "Bacterial small subunit ribosomal RNA", at positions 28 to 506 of the family's 1533-position model. The record is from RNAcentral.